RNAcentral lists this small RNA (77 nucleotides) under Sphingobium sp. EP60837. RNAcentral describes it as "Makes More Granules Regulator RNA (mmgR)". It matches the Rfam family "Makes More Granules Regulator RNA (mmgR)". From Rfam's summary of the family: SuhB later renamed mmgR (makes more granules regulator) was a putative non-coding RNA found multiple times in the Agrobacterium tumefaciens genome and related alpha-proteobacteria. Other non-coding RNAs uncovered in the same analysis include: speF, ybhL, metA, and serC. Several studies inSinorhizobium meliloti showed that suhB element is indeed a non-coding RNA:firstly it was detected on Northern blot and called Sm8RNA, secondly in an RNAseq study referred to as SmelC689. The record is from Rfam by way of RNAcentral. Lineage: Bacteria; Pseudomonadati; Pseudomonadota; Alphaproteobacteria; Sphingomonadales; Sphingobiaceae.
CGCCCCUGCCUUUCAGGCAUCCUCUCCUAAAAACUCAGCUGGCCGGUCCUUCGGGACCGGCCUUUUUUUGUUAGCGG